CAGAUCAAUGAUCCCGAUGCUGUAUUGUGGAUGGUAGGGUAUGCCAUACCAGGAAGCCUGUGCUUAAUGAUAAGCUUCAAACCAAAUGUAACAGUCUAGAUAUUUUUUCUGUGCAUAGUAAUGGAUGAGGAAGGCCUUUCCUGACUGUCCAUCUGACCUUAGUGCAGUGCGGAUUGGCCGUGUCCUGACGCCCAGCUUGUCCUGUCUUUUAGAGGUGAU
Non-coding RNA from Paramormyrops kingsleyae, 219 nucleotides. The record is from RefSeq and is a predicted model, not a curated record. Lineage: Eukaryota; Metazoa; Chordata; Actinopteri; Osteoglossiformes; Mormyridae.